GGAAUCGUAGUUCAAAUGAUAAGAGCACCAUGGUUUGUGCGGACGGACACGGGUUCGAUUCCCGUCGUCUCCA
This 73-nucleotide transfer RNA is filed under the name Phytophthora ramorum (sudden oak death agent). It matches the Rfam family "tRNA". From Rfam's summary of the family: Transfer RNA (tRNA) molecules are approximately 80 nucleotides in length. Their secondary structure includes four short double-helical elements and three loops (D, anti-codon, and T loops). Further hydrogen bonds mediate the characteristic L-shaped molecular structure. tRNAs have two regions of fundamental functional importance: the anti-codon, which is responsible for specific mRNA codon recognition, and the 3' end, to which the tRNAs corresponding amino acid is attached (by aminoacyl-tRNA synthetases). tRNAs cope with the degeneracy of the genetic code in two manners: having more than one tRNA (with a specific anti-codon) for a particular amino acid; and 'wobble' base-pairing, i.e. permitting non-standard base-pairing at the 3rd anti-codon position. The record is from Rfam by way of RNAcentral. Lineage: Eukaryota; Oomycota; Peronosporomycetes; Peronosporales; Peronosporaceae.